This is a long non-coding RNA of Meriones unguiculatus (Mongolian gerbil), 656 nucleotides long. RefSeq lists it as uncharacterized. The transcript has 4 exons. The record is from RefSeq and is a predicted model, not a curated record. NCBI's taxonomy places the organism in Eukaryota, Metazoa, Chordata, Mammalia, Rodentia, Muridae.
GCAGAACAGAAGCAAAGGUUUCACAGCCAGAAGGUCCUGCACCUAGGAGCCUAGAAGCCUGUUUUCUACUUCAACCCGGCUAAGUAUUGGAGGUUGAGCCUGAAAAGUUUGCCAUGAGUUCAAGGACAGCAUGGUCUUGAUUUUCAUUUUCCAAUUCUUCGGUGUAUGUAUUCAAAGUCAAAGACUCAUCCUAGAGAACACCUGAGAACAUUCAGCACACCGGCUUUCUACAGAGCCUCAGCUCCGGGGCAGCCUUCCGGAGGCCGUAGAGAAUGAGGACAAAUGGGGCGUGGCAGCACCGGAAGCCGCUUUCCCAACGACGUCAAAGCUGAACAGGCAAGGACUCCUGUAUCCUAAGCUGGCCUCCAGCUCCCUGUGUAGUUAAGGAUGACCUUGAACUCUGGAUCUUCCUGCCUUUCAUUUCCAAGUGAUGAGCUUAUAGGAAUAUACUACCUGUCUAGCUUAUGUGAUACUGCAGAUUUAGGUAUCUACUCUCCGGUUUGUAGAAUUUCCUUCCUUCCUAUGUAUAUAUACUUUCCUUUGUAUUGUUACUGUGGAGGGGACAUGUGUAUGUGCCACAGUAAUGUAUGGAAGUCAGAAUACAACUCUUAGGGCCCGACAACAUGGCAUAUAUGUAUAUAUGUAUAUAUAUUUAA